Molecule: ribosomal RNA, 482 nt
Filed under: uncultured bacterium
Lineage: Bacteria
Description: partial 16S ribosomal RNA
Rfam family: Bacterial small subunit ribosomal RNA
Source: RNAcentral
AUUGAACGCUGGCGGCAUGCCUUACACAUGCAAGUCGAACGGUAACGGGCCUUCGGGUGCCGACGAGUGGCGAACGGGUGAGUAAUACAUCGGAACGUGCCCGAUCGUGGGGGAUAACGAGGCGAAAGCUUUGCUAAUACCGCAUACGAUCUACGGAUGAAAGCAGGGGACCGCAAGGCCUUGCGCGGACGGAGCGGCCGAUGGCAGAUUAGGUAGUUGGUGGGAUAAAAGCUUACCAAGCCGACGAUCUGUAGCUGGUCUGAGAGGAUGAUCAGCCACACUGGGACUGAGACACGGCCCAGACUCCUACGGGAGGCAGCAGUGGGGAAUUUUGGACAAUGGGCGCAAGCCUGAUCCAGCCAUGCCGCGUGCAGGAUGAAGGCCUUCGGGUUGUAAACUGCUUUUGAACGGAACGAAAAGCCUUCUUUUAAUACAGGAGGGUCAUGACGGUACCGUAAGAAUAAGCACCGGCUAACUACGUG